UUUUCUUAAGUCUCCUUCUGACACUUUAACAAGAUAAGCUAUUCCCUGAAGAGAAAAGAGUUGUUUUUAACCUAUGAUGGCCAAUUAAGGAUUUAUAACUUUAAUUUUAAAAUGUUUAAUAAAAGUGAAAAACCCUGUUUUAGUCUAGAGUUAAUGAGAAAAAACAUUUCUGUUUUGGGAGAAAAUAUGAUCAGUCUAGGGGCCGGGUACAAUGGAAGGAUAGAGAUCUCUUGCUUCUGAAAUAAAUUUGCAGAGAUGAAAAAAUGUUCCAUAUUUAUCCCAUUUUCUUGCUCACGUAAAGCAAAUUCAAAUUAUGGUUAAAUUCUGUUAUAAUGAAUAAGGGCCUUAUGUUUCUAUCAAUUUUAGGGAAGUACUGAAGUAUUAGCUAGAAGACUAAAAUCUUGUCAUCAUGCAGAGAUUUAUGUUGCAGAAUUUGCAUUAUAUGUAUGAAAUCCACCUCAGUUUCGGGUCUCUGAUAUAUUAAAAGAUAAUUAACUCAAAAAGUAAUAGAAAAGCUAAACCUUGUAAUUCCUACACAUUUCAAUUGUUGCCCCUUUAGCUUAAGUUUGUCUGAAGAACUGGCAUCAGGAUUGAGGCAACACACAUUUAAAUCUUUCAGGGCCUCUUUAUAUGCAUUCAUCAAAGGAAUUAGUAACUCUAAUAAUUGUAAUAAUUAGUAAUUACCUCAUCACUAAUUUUGACAUUUUCCUUCUUGGCAAUGUCUAGUAAUCGCUGCUGUUGAAUUUUAUCUGACAGAGGCUUGAAGCGGAAUUUUGAACAUCUAGAGGUCAGGGGUUCAAUUAUUCUGUGGAAGAUGAGAAAAACCAAGUUGGUGUCUAAAGAAAGAAUUUCCCCAAAAGAACUCAUUUUUAUCAAGAACAAAUCAAGAUUUGAUGGAGGAAAAAUUAAUGUAGCCUUGAAAAUCCUAAAUUUCCUUUCCCUAAUUGGGUUAUGAAAAUAAGGCUGCCUAGCAUCUGUCUUCAGGGCAAUAUACAUACCGACUGACAUAGUUACAGAUAAGACAGAAUCGGGUGGUUUUCGACUCCUUCUCCAUGGUACGUCUUAAAGCUGCCUGAGCAGCUGAGGUCAUAGAAUCUGCUUCAUCCAGAAUCACAAUCUUAAAAGGCGGACACGGCUUCCCACUGAUUCAGAGAAACACAUAAGAGUUGAACAUUAAUAUGUAUAUUGGUUUUAACAGCUUUGUUGAAAGAUACACGUACCAUACAAUUCACCCAUUUAAAAUGUACAAUUCAGUGUUUUUCUGUAUGUUCACAAAGUUGUGCAACCAUUACCACAAUCUAAUUUUAGAACAUUUUUAUCACUCCUAAAAGAAACUUUGUACCUAUUAGGAGUCACUCUUCUUCCCCCAGUCAUUCCCAGCUCUAGGCAAUCAUUAGUCUACUUUCAUCUCUAUAGAUUUGCCUAUUCUGGACAUGAUAUGAAUGGAACAUAUAAUAUGCAGUCUUUUGUGGCUGACUUCUUCCACUUAACAUAUUUUAAAGGUUCAUCCAUAUUGUAGCAUGUGUUUGCGUCAUUCCUUUGUAUUGUCAAAUACUAUGGCAAAUAGAUACACCACAUUUAUUCAUCCAUUAAUCGGUUGGACAUUUGGGCUGUUUCCAUGUUUUGGCUAUUAAGAAUAAUGCUGCUGUGAACAUUUGUGUACAUGUUUUUGAGCAGACAUGUCUUCCAAGAGGCUGUACCAUUUUACAUUCCAACCAGCAAUGUAUGCGGUUUACCAUUUCUCCACAUCCUUGUCAAUGCUAGUUAUUUUCUGUAUUUUUUAUCAUAGCCAUCCUAGUGGGAGUUACGUGGUAUUUCAAUGUGGCUUUGAUUUUCAUUUCCCAAAUGGAUAAUGAUGUUGAUGAGCAUCUUUUAAUGUGCUUAUUACACAUGCACGAAAUGUCUAUGCAGAUCCUUUGCCUUUUUUUUUUUUUUGAGAUAGAGUCUUGCUCUGUCGCCCAGGCUGGAGUGCAGUGGUGCGAUCUUGGCUCACUGCAAGCUCUGCCUCCUGGGUUCACGCCAUACUCCUGCCUCAGCCUCCCGAGUAGCUGGGACUACAGGCGCCCGCCACCACACCCAGCUAAUUUUUUGUAUUUUUAGUAGAGAUGGGGUUUCACCAUGUUCGCCAGGAUGGUCUCGAUCUCCUGACCUUGUGAUCCACCUGCCUCGGCCUCCCAAAGUGCUGGGAUUACAGGUGUGAACCACUGCGCCCGGCCUUUGCCCAUUUUUUAAUUGGGUUAUUUGUUUUUAUUACUGAGUUUUUAAAGUUCUUCAUAUGUUCUAGAUAUAAGUACCUUUUUAGGUAUAUGAUUUGUAAAUAUUUUCUCCCACGUUGCGGGUUAUUACCUUCUGUACAUUGAUUUUUGGUAAUCUGCCAUUAAAGUUUUUCUCCCACCAAAAGUGGCAUUAACAUAAUUGUAUGAAAAUUAUACCAAGAAAACAGAUUUCAAGUAUUAAUGGUAGAAGGGAUCUCAGAGUCUUUUAGUCCACCUCCCAGUCUUCAUUUCACAUAAAAAUACAUUAGGUGCUAUAGCGGUUGUGACUGACUGCACCAUCAAUUUAAGGUGCAUAUCAAAAAUUAGUCAUUCACUUUCACAAAUUUUGAAAUGUGCUCAUGUAAAAUUUACACAUAUGUCUAGGUACCACCAAUGUAAUCCUGGACCUUUGCCACCUAAGGAGCAUAAGUAGUUGAUUAAAUCCCUGUUUACCUCAGGCAGGAUAGUCUUCUAACAUGAAAAGUUGACAAUUUGGCAGAAAUACACUUGAUCUUAGCCAAAAGGCUGAGGAGCGAUGGCAGAAAUACAUAUUUAAAAUAAUACAUGCUAUGGAGGAGGGAGGGCAAAUUUACUUACUCUGAGCGACUUCCUGACACAGUUAAUUGAGCAAAAUUUUUCACUUUCUCUCGAACUACUUGUAUUCCACGUUCAUCAGAUGCAUUUAACUCAAGAACUCUUAAUCGGAAAAGUUCAGGCCUAUCUCAAAAUGAAACAAAUAUGAAACAUAGAGCACAAGUAGGCUUAAAUCACAUUUUAACAUUUGCACACUUUGCAGACGUUUAAAAUCCACCUAGUAAACAACAUGGAUAGAAGGCACACAAUCACUUUUGCAUUCUCGCUUCAGCAGAGUGCUGCAGUUAACAUUUUGGCUUUUUUCCAUGCAUUUAAAAAAAUGUAGACAUUACAUAACAUAUACAAUUUCUUUUCUUUUUAUUUUUUUGGAGACAAGGUCUUGCUCUGUCACUCAGGCUGGAGAACAGUGGCAUGAUGAUGGCUCACUGCAGCCUUGAACUCCUGGGCUCAAAUGAUCCUCCCACCUUAGCUUCCCAACUAGCUGGGACUAUAGGCACAUGCCAUCACACCUGGCUAAUUUUGUUUACUUUUUGUAGAGGCAGGGACUCAUUAUGUGGCCAGGCUGGUCUCAGGUGAUCCUUCCACCUUGGCCUCCCAAAAUGUUGGGAUUACAGGUGUGAGGCACCACACCUGGCCCCACAUAUAAAAUUUUAAAUCGAUUUUCCACUUUGCAUUUAUAAUAAGUAUCUUGGCAUAUUAUCAAAACCACUGUAAAUAACAUUUUAAUAGUCAUAUGAUAUUCCAUCCUAUGACUGUACCAUCAUUUACUUCACAUUCUUCUAUUGUUAGACAUCUAGAUAGUUUUAAAUACUGUAAUUUUAAAUAAUGUUAUAAUAUAGCACAUUUUAAAUUAUUUCCGGCCGGAUGUGGUGGAUUUCAGAUAUUUCUAUCAGUUGUAUGUCUGAUAUUAAUUCUGGAUAAACUCAAAACAGCCUUUGUUAUGUUGGUGCAUGUUUCAUGUAUAUCAGACCCAGCCCACUACACAUCUUUUAACUCUAGGUAAAGGGCUCCUCUAGAAUGGCUGGUUAAGCCAAGAUGGUCAAUCUAGGAAGAGGAACAUAAGAAGGUGACUCACAGGAAGAUUUUCUGGUGUACCUGGAAUCACACUACAUCAACCAUCACUUGUGCUCAGGAGACCUGAGGCAAGGAGCUGGACUGGCCACUCCAGAGUCAGAGCCUAGGAAGUCCAGAGCAGGACUCAAGAAUGGAUGGUGCAAAUAGUGCCAUCAGAAACAGCAGAUUCUAUCAUGUAGCCACACAGAUGUGAACACAAUCAUUAAGAGGGUGAUAAAACUAUCAGCACAACUGGACAUUAAGUUGGGCCCUCUGGACUCCAAAGUUAUAAUGGAAAAUUUAAAGAAAGUGAUGGAAAAAAUCAUAGGCUCCCCACACUUGAACAAGAUUCACAAUGAAGGUCACAAAAGACGCAGGCAAGCUGAUUUCUUCAGGGGAGUGAGGGAGGAACAAAAUGGCUCAUGGGAUUUUUAAAAAUCAGAAAUAGAAAACUAUCCUACAGAAAACGAAACGCAAAUUUUUAGAGGAAAAAAAGCAAUAUCAGAGAAUUUUGGUGUCAAAUCUUUAAAAAAAGAAAAACAGACUGAUUUCAACGUACCCAAAGAGUUCUCUAGCUGCUGCCAAAAUAGUGGAUGUUUUUCCAGUUCCAGGUGGUCCGUAAAACAAGAGAUUAGGAAGCUGUAGAAAUUAAAUUUUAUUUUUAAUAAAUGGUAUUCUGGCACAAAUAGAUGAAAAGGAAGAUCGAAAAAAAUGUCUGUGGAAUAGUGCAAUGACUUCUCUAAUAGGGCACGUAAUUUCUAAGUAUAAAGUUUUCUUAAUAUAACUGAUAUCAUAGUACUGACAGAUUUAAAUCCUGCUUUUUCAUAUACUACCACUUUUUUCCCCAAGUGUCUUUUUAAUCUCUUAAGCUGAACCAAUAUUUAUGCUUGCUCUAUAGCUAAUCCACUUAGGUGAAAUUUUCAAAGCUGGAAUGAGAAACCUUUUAUUUCUAAAGGGAAUCUCAGUUUCCUAUCCCACCUCUAUGCUCAAGAUUAGGUAAGAUUUUAUAUUACACAAAAUGUCAGCUGCUUCAAAGGGGAAGCAGACCAAAAGAGUAAUGGGAUUUGGCCAAAACUGAGGAAAAAGGACUAAAAAAGACAUAAUUAGGGCUUUGGAUGAGCAGAAGUACCAAGAACAGAAAUAUUAACAAAAAAUCCAAAACUAGAUAUAUAUUAAGUACUAGGCACUGCUCCACAUCAUGAUUAUGCACUCUGUAAGGAUGCUUGCAUGUAUCAGGGAGAAUUCAUUAGAAGAGGAAAGGAUAAAAUUAAAUCACUAGCUACCUUCUUUUAUACCUUGUAUCUAGCUAGUUUGGCUCCUAUCAAGCAGUCGACUGAUCCGUGGUGAAAAUUAAUAAGUCAACUAAAUUCUAAUGAGCUCUGUUAUGAUACUGUGCAAUCUUCAGUAUGUCCUGUCACAUAAGGAAAUCAGUGUACACAGGAAACUAGGCAUUAGAGUUUGUUUCCACUCUUGCCUAACCCUCCCUCUUCCUGUCCAUUCAUUCUUCACCUAAAUCAGAUACCACUCUGCUUGCUACUUAAAACUAUUCCACUUAGAAAAACAAAAACAAACCAAAAAACCCUCAGCUUUUUACCAUGGCCUAAAGGACUUCCAUGAUCUGCCUACCACCUCCUUCACCUUCCAGGCUCUAGCUUACAAUGGCUUCUAACAGCUUGGCACUUUCUGGCCCGAACAUAUGUUGCUCCCAUGACCUGGAGUCUGAUCCUCUUCUUUCUGCCUGGCCAACUCCUAAUGCAUUACAAAUCAGAAACCAUUCAGUCUAAAGUAGGUCUCCUCUCCUAUUCUCUCAUUAGUGUUUGUUGCAUUUUGCAUUGGUUUAUUGUUAUUUCACUGUGGGGCUUAAUUGUAAAAUGCCUGUCUACUUCAUUAAAAGACCAAGAACCUUAUUUGUUCUAUUCACAUCUGUAUUCUAGCAUCUACUACAGUAGUCAAUGUUGGCCAAAUGAAUGAAUAAACCAAUACAUAGACAAAUAUGUUAAUUAGAAGACUAUUACUGUUACAUUCAUAACAUAUAGCUUACAGAACAAACUAUGAGAUUCAUAACUUAAAAACCUCCCAGGCUUCUUAGUAAUUAAGGUCUACAACUAUUAUUUUGAUCUGUGCAUCCCUUAACAAUGUAACGAUUCAUCCAGGUUAACUAUCAGAUACAAUAAUUUAAAUUCUUUGAAACAGGGUAAAAUUAUUAAACCUUAAUUAUACACUAGUCUAAUAUAUGUAGUACAUUCAAGAACUGUAUGUGGAAUACCAGUUCUUAAAAUCAAUUUCUGAAAAAAUUAUCUUCUUAUAAUUCUUUAAAACCUUUCAAAAUAAAUUGAAUGAAUUGUUUUCCUUUACUCUUUUGAAUUAAAAAAACUAUUUCACCUCUUUACAAAACUUAGUCUGAAAAGGUGCACAAAAUAUUAAACUGAAGUUCUUACUUCAGCCUCAUAAAUUACGUGGCAUAAAGUCAAGAACUAGAUCUUAGGCUGG
This 6392-nucleotide long non-coding RNA is filed under the name Homo sapiens (human). Its description in RNAcentral is "HSALNT0065900". The record is from RNAcentral. Lineage: Eukaryota; Metazoa; Chordata; Mammalia; Primates; Hominidae.